AGAAGCUGCUGAGUCAGCCGAAGUCCGGAGGACUCUGUCCUUUUCUGAGGGAGCUGGCAGCUGAAGGACAGGCCUGGACAGGGCCUUGAUGCUGGGACUUUGUGUCCCGCUGUGUCACCAGAGCAGCUAAGGAGCCCUGCCUGGCCCUUUCCGUGGAGUCUCAGACCAGAUUCCUCAAGCAUACUCCUUCUUCAAUACCUGAGUGCCUGUUUACACAGCACAGGUCUCACCUGGGAAGCCCAUCUGCAUCACGGCCUCCUCACGUGAGACUCAACCACUUAACUGAACUGAUUUCUUUCAGGACUGAGUAACUGAGCUGAUGACAUGGAACACUCUACCAACUUUGCUUCUGGAAUAAUACAGCGUGAGCUUCUUGACCAUGUGGCUGGGGAAGGACAAGCCUCUAGACCAUGCAGCAGCAGUGCGGGGUCCUAGCCAUGGGGUUUGAAAGAAUGCAGAAGGACCCCCACUGGCCUGCUAUGAGGAAGUGCCAUGCAGCUUUGGAUUAAGAAUGGGAGCCUAGCUGAGCUAUGGACUUCUGUUUUCUUUUCCUGAGAUACGGUACCCCUACUGGCCUGGUGUGGCAAGGGGAGGCAGGACUGUGUGUGUGUGUGCUUGUAGGUGUUUUAAAGGGACUUUGUUAUUUAAUGGCAACAUUCUGCCAUUAUCCUGAACCUGUAUAACUUCUGAAUAAAUAGUUCCUUUCCUUUUUACCAAA
Long non-coding RNA from Phyllostomus hastatus (greater spear-nosed bat), 718 nucleotides. RefSeq lists it as uncharacterized. The record is from RefSeq and is a predicted model, not a curated record. The transcript has 2 exons. NCBI's taxonomy places the organism in Eukaryota, Metazoa, Chordata, Mammalia, Chiroptera, Phyllostomidae.